AUUGAACGCUGGCGGCAGGCCUAACACAUGCAAGUCGAACGAGUGGCGGAGGGGUGAGUAAGGGAUGGGAAACUGAGUGAUGGAGGGGGAUAAGUAGUGGAAACGGUAGCAAAUACCGCAUAGCAUGAGAUGGGGCGAGAUGGGAUGAGCUAGUAGGUGGGGUAACGGCUCACCUAGGCGACGAUCCCGAGCUGGUCUGAGAGGAUGACCAGCCACACUGGAACUGAGACACGGUCCAGACUCCUACGGGAUGCAGCAGUGGGGAAUAUUGCACAAUGGGCGCAAGCCUGAUGCAGCCAUGCCGCGUGUGUGAAGAAGGCCUUCGGGUUGUAAAGCACUUUCAGCGGGGAGGCGUUACCCGCAGAAGAAGCACCGGCUAACUCCGUGCCAGCAGCCGCGGUAAUAC
This 406-nucleotide ribosomal RNA is filed under the name uncultured bacterium. RNAcentral describes it as "partial 16S ribosomal RNA". It matches the Rfam family "Bacterial small subunit ribosomal RNA", at positions 29 to 526 of the family's 1533-position model. The record is from RNAcentral.